GAUGAACGCUAGCGGGAGGCUUAACACAUGCAAGCCGAGGGAGAAGUUGUUUUCGGACUGCGGACACCGGCGGACGGGUGAGUAACAUGUAUGCAACUUUCCUCUAUCAGUGGUAUAACCCGGGUAAACCCGGACUAAUUCCGCAUAACAAAUAGAUCAGCAUUGAUUUAUUUUAAAAGAUUUAUCGGAUAUAGAUAGGCGUGCGUAGGAUUAGUUAGUUGGUUAGUUAACGGCUAACCAAGACGCUGAUCCUUCGGUGGGCUGAGGGGCUGAUACCCCAGAACGGUACGGAGGCACGGACCAGACUCCGACGGGAGGCAGCAGUGAGGAAGAUUAGACGAUGGGGGAGGGCCUGAUCCAGCCACCCCGGGUGCAGGAAGACGGCCCUAUGGGUUGUAAACUGCUUUUAAACAGGAAUAACCCUACUCACGUGUGAGUAGCUGAAGGUACUGUAAGAAUAAGCACCGGCUAACUUCGUG
This 479-nucleotide ribosomal RNA is filed under the name uncultured bacterium. Its description in RNAcentral is "partial 16S ribosomal RNA". It matches the Rfam family "Bacterial small subunit ribosomal RNA", at positions 28 to 507 of the family's 1533-position model. The record is from RNAcentral.